This 638-nucleotide ribosomal RNA is filed under the name uncultured bacterium. Its description in RNAcentral is "bacterial SSU rRNA". It matches the Rfam family "Bacterial small subunit ribosomal RNA", at positions 54 to 696 of the family's 1533-position model. The record is from RNAcentral.
CAUGCAAGUCGAGCGGGGAACGGAUGGUAGCUUGCUACUGUUUGUUUCUAGCGGCGGACGGGUGAGUAACGCGUGAGCAACCUGCCUUUAUCAGGGGGAUAACGCAUCGAAAGAUGUGCUAAUACCGCGUAAGACCACAGCUUCACAUGGAGCGGGGGUCAAAGGAGCAAUCCGGAUAAAGAUGGGCUCGCGUCCGAUUAGCUAGUUGGUGAGAUAACAGCCCACCAAGGCGACGAUCGGUAGCCGACCUGAGAGGGUGAUCGGCCACAUUGGAACUGAGAGACGGUCCAGACUCCUACGGGAGGCAGCAGUGGGGAAUAUUGGGCAAUGGGCGAAAGCCUGACCCAGCAACGCCGCGUGAGGGAAGAAGGGUUUCGGCUCGUAAACCUCUGUCCUAUGGGACGAAGGAAGUGACGGUACCAUAGGAGGAAGCCCCGGCUAACUACGUGCCAGCAGCCGCGGUAAUACGUAGGGGGCGAGCGUUGUCCGGAAUGAUUGGGCGUAAAGGGCGCGUAGGCGGCCUGCUAAGUCUGGAGUGAAAGUCCUGCUUUCAAGGUGGGAAUUGCUUUGGAUACUGGUGGGCUGGAGUGCAGGAGAGGAAAGCGGAAUUACCGGUGUAGCGGUGAAAUGCGUAGAGA